Molecule: ribosomal RNA, 1348 nt
Filed under: uncultured bacterium
Lineage: Bacteria
Description: bacterial SSU rRNA
Rfam family: Bacterial small subunit ribosomal RNA
Source: RNAcentral
GACGAACGCUGGCGGCACGCUUAACACAUGCAAGUCGAACGAGCGGAGAGAAGCUUGCUUUUCAAAGCUAGUGGCGGACGGGUGAGUAACACGUGAGCAAUCUGCCUUUCAGAGGGGGAUACCUGUUGGAAACGACAGUUAAUACCGCAUAAAAUAAUUUUACCGCAUGAUAAAAUUAUCAAAGAUUUAUCGCUGAAAGAUGAGCUCGCGUCUGAUUAGCUAGUUGGUAAGGUAACGGCCUACCAAGGCAACGAUCAGUAGCCGGACUGAGAGGUUGGACGGCCACAUUGGGACUGAGACACGGCCCAGACUCCUACGGGAGGCAGCAGUGGGGAAUAUUGCACAAUGGAGGAAACUCUGAUGCAGCGAUGCCGCGUGAGGGAAGAAGGUUUUAGGAUUGUAAACCUCUGUCUUAGGGGACGAUAAUGACGGUACCCUAGGAGGAAGCUCCGGCUAACUACGUGCCAGCAGCCGCGGUAAUACGUAGGGAGCGAGCGUUGUCCGGAAUUACUGGGUGUAAAGGGAGUGUAGGCGGGACUGCAAGUCAGAUGUGAAAACUAUGGGCUUAACACAUAGACUGCAUCUGAAACUGCGGUUCUUGAGUGAAGUAGAGGUAAGCGGAAUUCCUAGUGUAGCGGUGAAAUGCGUAGAUAUUAGGAGGAACAUCAGUGGCGAAGGCGGCUUACUGGGCUUUAACUGACGCUGAGGCUCGAAAGCGUGGGGAGCAAACAGGAUUAGAUACCCUGGUAGUCCACGCUGUAAACGAUGAAUACGAGGUGUGGGGGGACUGACCCCUUCCGUGCCGCAGUAACACAAUAAGUAAUCCACCGGGGGAGUACGGCCGCAAGGCUGAAACUCAAAGGAAUUGACGGGGGCCCGCACAAGCAGUGGAGUAUGUGGAUUAAUUCGAAGCAACGCGAAGAACCUUACCAGGUCUUGACAUCGUAUACAUAGCUCAGAGAUGAGUGAAAUCCCUUCGGGGACAUAUAGACAGGUGGUGCAUGGUUGUCGUCAGCUCGUGUCGUGAGAUGUUGGGUUAAGUUCCGCAACGAGCGCAACCCUUAUGUUUAGUUGCUACGCAAGAGCACUCUAGACAGACUGCCGUUGACAAAACGGAGGAAGGUGGGGAUGACGUCAAAUCAUCAUGCCCCUUAUGACCUGGGCCUCACACGUACUACAAUGGCUAUAAACAAAGUGAAGCAAGACAGUGAUGUGGAGCAAAACACAAAAAAUAGUCUUAGUUCGGAUUGUAGGCUGCAACCCGCCUACAUGAAGUCGGAAUUGCUAGUAAUCGCAGAUCAGCAUGCUGCGGUGAAUACGUUCCCGGGCCUUGCACACAGCGCCCGUC